This 473-nucleotide ribosomal RNA is filed under the name Nocardia nova. Its description in RNAcentral is "bacterial SSU rRNA". It matches the Rfam family "Bacterial small subunit ribosomal RNA", at positions 28 to 518 of the family's 1533-position model. The record is from RNAcentral. Lineage: Bacteria; Bacillati; Actinomycetota; Actinomycetes; Mycobacteriales; Nocardiaceae.
GACGAACGCUGGCGGCGUGCUUAACACAUGCAAGUCGAGCGGUAAGGCCCUUCGGGGUACACGAGCGGCGAACGGGUGAGUAACACGUGGGUGAUCUGCCUCGCACUCUGGGAUAAGCCUGGGAAACUGGGUCUAAUACCGGAUAUGACCACGGAUCGCAUGGUUUGUGGUGGAAAGAUUUAUCGGUGCGAGAUGGGCCCGCGGCCUAUCAGCUUGUUGGUGGGGUAAUGGCCUACCAAGGCGACGACGGGUAGCCGACCUGAGAGGGUGACCGGCCACACUGGGACUGAGACACGGCCCAGACUCCUACGGGAGGCAGCAGUGGGGAAUAUUGCACAAUGGGCGAAAGCCUGAUGCAGCGACGCCGCGUGAGGGAUGACGGCCUUCGGGUUGUAAACCUCUUUCGACAGGGACGAAGCGCAAGUGACGGUACCUGUAGAAGAAGCACCGGCCAACUACGUGCCAGCAGCCGC